This 791-nucleotide small RNA is filed under the name Pan troglodytes (chimpanzee). RNAcentral's name for it is "processed transcript". Lineage: Eukaryota; Metazoa; Chordata; Mammalia; Primates; Hominidae. The record is from RNAcentral.
GUGCCUAAAGUCGGGGAGAGAAAAGGAGACAGUAUUUAAGGAAUUUAAGAUCUUGAAGUGGAAAAGGCCUAGAAGAGCCAUAACUGCUGAGUCUUGGAAAGAAAAUGAAACAGAGUGUCUGCAUGCAGUUUCCUUAAGGUGUAUGCAACAGCGUUAUCGCAACAGGCUAACGAAAACAGACAAAAUUCAACUGGAAAAGCAUGUUUUGGCACCUUCCUCCCAGAAGAAAAACUUAAUGACUUUCGUGAUGAACAAAUUGGACAGUUGCAGGAGCUGAUGCAAGAAGCCACAAAACCCAACAGGCAAUUUAGUAUUUCUGAGUCUACGAAACCAAAAUUUUAGUCUAUACAACAAAGCUUAAUAAGACAUGCAAAAAUUUAGAACCCCUACUUUGUCAUUGGUUUUUGAAAUAUAUUUAAGCUUUGAAAACACCUGUUAUUAAUGAAAUACUCUUUUAUUUUGGAUAUUAUGAUUGCAGUAUAUGGAUCAAGAUCACUAGUGACAAUUGAAAAAACUAUUGGAAUAAUAGCACUUGUAUGAAAUUCAGUUUUGGAACUAAACAGCAAAUAAUGUAUCUAAAAUGGACAAAUUUCUAGAAUUUUGCUGAAAACGUUUUAAAAUGCUAUUCUCAUCCAGCCAUAUUAGUCUUCUGGCUUUUCUUUAGCUUCAUCAAAUAAGCAUGUUGUGAUAAUGAUAGAUGUACAAUUCCAACAAGGUUAUUAUUUUUUAAAUACAUUGUCAUUCUGAACAUUUUAUCAUUUCUACUUUAAUAAUACGUACAUGAUUUUUCU